GAUGAACGCUGGCGGCGUGCCUAAUACAUGCAAGUCGAGCGAACAGAUAAGGAGCUUGCUCCUUUGACGUUAGCGGCGGACGGGUGAGUAACACGUGGGUAACCUACCUAUAAGACUGGAAUAACUCCGGGAAACCGGGGCUAAUGCCGGAUAACAUUUAGAACCGCAUGGUUCUAAAGUGAAAGAUGGUUUUGCUAUCACUUAUAGAUGGACCCGCGCCGUAUUAGCUAGUUGGUAAGGUAACGGCUUACCAAGGCAACGAUACGUAGCCGACCUGAGGGGGUGAUCGGCCACACUGGAACUGAGACACGGUCCAGACUCCUACGGGAGGCAGCAGUAGGGAAUCUUCCGCAAUGGGCGAAAGCCUGACGGAGCAACGCCGCGUGAGUGAUGAAGGUCUUCGGAUCGUAAAACUCUGUUAUUAGGGAAGAACAAAUGUGUAAGUAACUGUGCACGUCUUGACGGUACCUAAUCAGAAAGCCACGGCUAACUACGUG
RNAcentral lists this ribosomal RNA (497 nucleotides) under uncultured bacterium. Its description in RNAcentral is "partial 16S ribosomal RNA". It matches the Rfam family "Bacterial small subunit ribosomal RNA", at positions 28 to 507 of the family's 1533-position model. The record is from RNAcentral.